This 253-nucleotide ribosomal RNA is filed under the name uncultured bacterium. RNAcentral's name for it is "partial 16S ribosomal RNA". It matches the Rfam family "Bacterial small subunit ribosomal RNA", at positions 524 to 776 of the family's 1533-position model. The record is from RNAcentral.
UACGGGGGGGGCAAGCGUUGUUCGGAAUUACUGGGCGUAAAGGGCUCGUAGGCGGCCAACUAAGUCAGACGUGAAAUCCCUCGGCUUAACCGGGGAACUGCGUCUGAUACUGGAUGGCUUGAAUCCGGGAGAGGGAUGCGGAAUUCCAGGUGUAGCGGUGAAAUGCGUAGAUAUCUGGAGGAACACCGGUGGCGAAGGCGGCACCCUGGACCAACACUGACGCUGAGGAGCGAAAGCCAGGGGAGCAAACGGG